UUCACAUGAAACCCCCCGCCUUUUUCUUCACAUUUCGAAACUUACUUUUGCUGUGGUGCCCUGCUCCAUUCGAACCCUAAACCAUAAACGACGUCCUCGGAGAUCGCGGCAUCGUCACCGGAAUCGGAUAACAGACCGGUGCUAUCUGAUUAUCGCAGCAUGACGGGAAAUUAGAUUUUUGAUUUAAGGGAAACGAUGCAAAACCUUGGUAAAAUAAAAGAUUCUUACCAGGUAUCAUUUUGUUUUGAUUAACGAGCCAUUGCCAUAUGCUUGUUGCAUACCGAUAUGUGUUUCUGCAUGUAUAAACAAUAUCUGAUUUCGCAAAUACUAUUGCCAGCUGAAGGCAUUGCAUUGGUUGAAAUUAUUUCAGUCUUUCCUUUAGAUUGAGUUGUAAUUAAGAGCAAUAAGCUCUUGUCUGAGGCCUUUCACAACUGCAGUGCCAUUUGGAAUCCCUGUUUGACUUGACUAGGGUUUGGAAAAGCUGAUGAAUAACAGUCUGAUGCUGGUACAAUAAAAUCACUAAGGUAAUAAGUUUGCGCUAUCUAUGUGAUCACUCGCUUUAUUUAGAGGGUGGGGACUCCUUGCAAUUAAUAUCUUUUAAUUCGGAUUUCUUAGCUCUUUGGUCAUGGCAGGCUUCCAGAUGGUAUAUUAAUAGAUGAACGGCAUGAGAACAUAAAAGAUUUUUGGGUGAUUUGAAUUUAUUCAAUAUUUCUUCUUUGAUUUUGGUUUAUAUGUUUAUUUAUUUUUAUUGCAGGUGGGAAGUAAAGUUGAAAAAUGGUAUAACUGAUUUCAAAACUUCCAUUGAUAUUUUAGCAAAUGCUAUGGUUGCAUAUAGAAACGUUAUACAAUACAACUAGCAUACACCUUGGAGGCCAAAUGAAACACAGUCUAGUUCAGGUUGACUCAUUUAGUAAACUGGUUAAAUUUCUGUUAAAUUUGGUGUAAACCCAUGCAAGAAGCUGGAAAAACUUCCAUUGGUUUUCUAGGGAGUGCUAUGUGAUAUACAGUUACACUCAAUUUCAUUUUAUUUUACUUAAUUGUUGAUGCAUGUAGAUGGUUUUCCAUUUGCUUAUGUUUGCUGUGAUGUUGGGGUUUAGCAGUUUUGUAAUAUUCUUGAUGUUUUAGUCAAAAGAUAUAUAUUAAUGGAAGAAAUGGACUUGUGAUGGUUUGGUUGGGGUUUGAUAAAGAGUGAAAUUAGUGCACAUUUAUUCUUAACCAUAAAUAUGAGUAUCAAGAAACUUAAUGGAAUUAAAUGCUGACUUCUAUAGUCGAUCUUCUUGCUGAGGUGAUCUUUUUUCUUCUGGUGGAAAUGAUGUAGCUUGGAUGAUUUUGUGGUGCAAUUGGAAAAUCACCAAAACAUACAUUGAGCAUAAGCAUUCAAACCAUCUAUUUUAUGUAUAAAUAAAAUGAUUGCCAAAGCAGAUGGGUGUUUAAAAGAAAGAAGAAAAAGGAAAUAUGAUAAGACUAGUUCUCUUUUUCAUUGAGUGUUGUAUUUAUUAGGAAUAGCAUUUUUUUGGAGUACUUAAUUUAGUGUAUCAAAAACUUUCUUUUUAUUUUUUUUCUUUUUGGUAAAUUUUGAAUUUAUUAAUUAGGACUCAGGCUAUACUAUUAUGUUUAAUAAUGUUUGAUGUGGGACCAUUGACCAAUAAUAUCAAAACUUUAUCAUCUGGCUGUAAUGGAUCUUUUAUUUGUAGGUUUGGGUGUUCAAGGAGAAGCAUCAGGCUCCAUUACUGAUGUUUCAUUAUUAUAAUAGCGACCAAAACUCAUGGGACACCAAAUGAAUAUCGCAAGGUAUUGAAGGAAUGGGCAGUUGCGUUUCAGUUUCAGUACUCUAAGCAGUGGCUAGGUACUUUUGCUUUUAUGGUUGAAGUUUAGUUCAGGUCAACCUUUUCAUCAUUCUUUUCGGGACUGCAACAGUUCUUCUCUUGGAAUCGAUGCUGUGGGCAAAGAUGUAGGCACAACAGGCAAGACACUCCUUUUUUUUUUUU
Long non-coding RNA from Vitis vinifera (wine grape), 1988 nucleotides. RefSeq lists it as uncharacterized. The record is from RefSeq and is a predicted model, not a curated record. The transcript has 2 exons. Lineage: Eukaryota; Viridiplantae; Streptophyta; Magnoliopsida; Vitales; Vitaceae.